Molecule: long non-coding RNA, 1126 nt
Organism: Helianthus annuus (common sunflower)
Lineage: Eukaryota; Viridiplantae; Streptophyta; Magnoliopsida; Asterales; Asteraceae
Exons: 3
Source: RefSeq, a predicted model, not a curated record
CUAACAUCAGCCCCAACCGUCUCCUCCUCUCACAAGACAACACCAUCGCCCUGCUCAGCCACAAACCUCCGUCUCCGUCGCCGGUUCAACCACCACCACCACUGCUCAUCCCUUCGUCGACACCCACAACAGUCAUCCACCUUCUCCGCCGCUCAUCUAUUCCGACCACCUCCGCCUUCAAAUCACUCAUCCCCCCAUCGCCCUUCUCCGUCGUCCACCGCACACCCUCACCAAUCUGCACCACCUCCAUCUCUCGCCGGUUCACCCUCUUCGACCACCAGCCAUCGUAUUCAACCGCCGGCUGCCACCUGAACCGGCAACCCACCACGUCGCCGGACUCAUCCAUCGCGCACCCCAACUGCCACUCGUCUCCGGUCUCCGACAUCAGAGGAAAUCGGUUUCAAUGGUGAUGCUCUUGAUGAUUGUUGACAUAUGAGUGAAACGAAACAAACAACCGCAACCGCCUUCGUAGAUUUCUUACACACUCAUCUCCGAGUCUCGAGGACGAUGCUAUAUCUUAAGCUUGGGGAGGUUGAGAUCAGAGGUGCGGAGCGCUUGCGAACGGUAAUGAGCAUUAAAGAGAUUGAUCGAUCAAGAGGAACAUGAGCUAAAUAAGGAAUUCACUAAUCAAAGGCUAAUUGAUGAAUUUAUUAAUUCAUAGUUCGUGUGAUCUGAAGUACAACUACUAGUUUGAGCCUAACCCCCAUUAUAUUGGGCUGAAUCUAAAGAGAAUGUGUUGAAUGUGAUUUGGGCUCACAAGCCUCAAUGGUUACGAAAAAAAAAAAAGAAAUGGAGAUAGAAUAUAACAAUCAUCAUCAACAACAAAGCAGAAAAAGAAGGAAACCAUCUGCUGGACGGCUGGCAUUGAGAAUCGAAGAAAAAAAAAAAAAAAGAAGGAAAAGCAUUUUUUUGGUUUUGGGGUGAUUUUCUAGAACAACAAAAGGAAAGAACUGUUUUGGUAUUUUAUUUCGUAAGUUUUAAUUUUGGAUGUUUUGUUACUCAUUUGUAUUGAUUGAACUAGCCAUCAUGUCCGGCUAGUCUUUUAUAGUUUCGACAUCGGGGUUUGUUUUCUUUGAUUUGAUUCAUAAACUUAUGUGAAACGGUUAUGUUAGAUUCAAUUAUUUUA